Molecule: long non-coding RNA, 258 nt
Organism: Cotesia glomerata
Lineage: Eukaryota; Metazoa; Arthropoda; Insecta; Hymenoptera; Braconidae
Exons: 2
Source: RefSeq, a predicted model, not a curated record
CGAUUAAGUGAGACAGUGUACAUUUAUAAGAUUUUAUAUUGCUAAUAUGUGAUAUUAGUUAUAAAAAUAGUGCAAUUAUAUGUUCUAAAAUAUUGGCUAUUAUUAAAACCUCAAAUAUUUUUCUAAAAACUAAGUAAAAAGUAAAUUAUAAUAAAAAGCUGAGAUAAUGAAGCAUAAACAAAAUUCCAAAGUGAUAAAACUCAAUCAUCAAAUUCAACCAAAGAAAAAAGUGUUGUGUUCCAAAAUGAAUAAUAAAAU